RNAcentral lists this long non-coding RNA (312 nucleotides) under Gossypium raimondii (Peruvian cotton). RNAcentral's name for it is "long non-coding RNA (GRAI_LNC008359)". Lineage: Eukaryota; Viridiplantae; Streptophyta; Magnoliopsida; Malvales; Malvaceae. The record is from RNAcentral.
UUUUGUUGAGUCAACAUGCCUUUUAUAACCCCCUUUUCACUUCUUUAUUCCUUUAUGAUCCACUUUUCACUCCCCUUGUCCCCAAACCUACAAUUUCUUCCCCAUAGACUACCUUGGUCAACCACUACACCUAGGCACCCACUCCAUUUCAUUUUUUCUCCUUCUUGCUCUCUUCCUCUCCUUUAGCUCCCCCUCCUCAUUGCUCCUCUUAUUUUCUUCUAUUUUCUUUUGUUUCACCACCAUUUCUUCUCCUUACUCAUCCUUUCAUCCACCAAUAAAGGCCACCGAACGUUUACCUCACCACCACCGGAC